This 204-nucleotide microRNA precursor is filed under the name Oryza rufipogon (brownbeard rice). Its description in RNAcentral is "MIR812 microRNA precursor family". It matches the Rfam family "MIR812 microRNA precursor family". Lineage: Eukaryota; Viridiplantae; Streptophyta; Magnoliopsida; Poales; Poaceae. The record is from Rfam by way of RNAcentral.
AAAAAGGCAAACCCUGGGUUUGCGUGUCCAACUUUGACCGUUCGUCUUAUAUGAAAUUUUUUUAUAAUUCGUAUUUUUAUUGUUGUUAGAUGAUAAAACAUGAUUAAUAUUUUAUGCGUGACUUAUCUUUUUAAUUUUUUUAUAAUUUUUUCAAAUAAGACGGACGGUUAAAUGUUGGGCACGAAAAUCAGGGUUUGUCUUUUU